RNAcentral lists this long non-coding RNA (565 nucleotides) under Manihot esculenta (cassava). RNAcentral's name for it is "long non-coding RNA (MESC_LNC003051)". The record is from RNAcentral. Lineage: Eukaryota; Viridiplantae; Streptophyta; Magnoliopsida; Malpighiales; Euphorbiaceae.
CGCACUAUACUGUACCUGCAAGCCUGGGGGUAAAGGGAGAGGGGUGAGCUAAAAGCCCAGUGAGCUGAACUAUAAAACAUAUUAACACUAUGCUUUAAUGAAAUGCAUCAUAACACAGACAAUUCACAUAAGGGUUGGGUGAACUUGUCACCAAUUAGUCCAAGCUAACAUGGUGCCAGGCCGUAGCAUGGGGUCCUGGUCUUCCUGUCAUACAUACAUUACUUACCAUUAUUCCAGGACCUCCUCUGGGCUCCUGGUCUUCGAGUCCACAAUCGUGCCAGGCCGUAGAAUGGGGUCCUGGUCUUUCAUUUCCGUGCCAGGCUGUAGAAUGGGGUCCUGGUCUUCCUGUCAUGGACUAAUUGGGUCAUCCAACAUUCACCCACAUCAACAACAAUCGAUGCAAUGCGGCAUAUUCGUGAAUACUAAUGCAAUCAUCCUAUUGCAUAAUCAUGAUGCAUGAAACAUGAUAAAACAUUUAAUUUAAAAGAUUGAGUUUAGUUCCACUCACCUCUGGCUGACUCUGACAACACCGAAGCAGCUGACCUCACUGCUGAGGUCCUCGGUU